This 247-nucleotide ribosomal RNA is filed under the name uncultured bacterium. RNAcentral describes it as "partial 16S ribosomal RNA". It matches the Rfam family "Bacterial small subunit ribosomal RNA", at positions 523 to 769 of the family's 1533-position model. The record is from RNAcentral.
AUACGUAGGCAGCAAGCGUUGUUCGGAGUUACUGGGCGUAAAGAGUGUGUAGGCGGUUCGCCAAGUUCGGUGUGAAAUCUCCCGGCUUAACUGGGAGGGUGCGCCGAAUACUGGCGGGCUAGAGUGCGGGAGAGGAGAGCGGAAUUCCUGGUGUAGCGGUGAAAUGCGUAGAUAUCAGGAGGAACACCUGCGGUGUAGACGGCUCUCUGGACCGUUUCUGACGCUGAGACACGAAAGCGUGGGUAGC